Molecule: ribosomal RNA, 579 nt
Filed under: uncultured bacterium
Lineage: Bacteria
Description: bacterial SSU rRNA
Rfam family: Bacterial small subunit ribosomal RNA
Source: RNAcentral
ACGGGUGAGUAAUGUCUGGGGAUCUGCCCGAUAGAGGGGGAUAACCACUGGAAACGGUGGCUAAUACCGCAUAACGUCGCAAGACCAAAGAGGGGGACCUUCGGGCCUCUCACUAUCGGAUGAACCCAGAUGGGAUUAGCUAGUAGGCGGGGUAACGGCCCACCUAGGCGACGAUCCCUAGCUGGUCUGAGAGGAUGACCAGCCACACUGGAACUGAGACACGGUCCAGACUCCUACGGGAGGCAGCAGUGGGGAAUAUUGCACAAUGGGCGCAAGCCUGAUGCAGCCAUGCCGCGUGUAUGAAGAAGGCCUUCGGGUUGUAAAGUACUUUCAGCGGGGAGGAAGGCAACAAGGUUAAUAACCUUGUUGAUUGACGUUACCCGCAGAAGAAGCACCGGCUAACUCCGUGCCAGCAGCCGCGGUAAUACGGAGGGUGCGAGCGUUAAUCGGAAUUACUGGGCGUAAAGCGCACGCAGGCGGUCUGUUAAGUCAGAUGUGAAAUCCCCGGGCUUAACCUGGGAACUGCAUUUGAAACUGGCAGGCUUGAGUCUCGUAGAGGGGGGUAGAAUUCCAGGUGUA